ACUCCCCAACUUUUGCUUCUGCCUCAGGUUCCUUUCCCAGCAAAGACUUGUUUCUCCCAGCCCGAAGAAGCAGAGGUGUGUGGGGAUUUAUUGAUUUGGAAGUAAAUGAGGAAGAAGAACUUUUCUCUGAUAUUUAGACAAUGCAUGGAGACUGCUACAAUCUCAGAAGUACCCUGUGAACCACAGCAUUGAGAAUCAGUACCUAAUAUAUCGGGAUGGUUGUAUCCUGGACACAGAAGUAAUUGGUAUAACCAUCGAAAAGCAGCCUGUGAUUUGCAGGCAGUAGUGCUUGCGUCCAGCAGCCUCAGUCCUCUGGUAAAAGCGAGACCCCACCGAGAAGAUAGCAGUGCCCCACAGGCUCCCGCCAAGCUAGUGGAAGAGAAAGGGCUCAUCUCGGUCCAACUUUCCAGCAAGGCUUACUAAAGAGACAUUGACAGAGAGCUAAUGCAGAAGAAUCACCAAGAAAAAAGCUUCAUGGACACAAAGUGGCUGAAGAAUAAAGACCAAGCCACAGAAGUUAUUACUCAUGAUAUAAACCGUGCACCAAUUAGAGAAAAGGGUUUUCCAGGUUUGCACUUUAGCUGUUUGGCUUCCAAAGUGAGAUGACUGUGCCAGAUAUGGGGAUGUCAUUGAAGCAAACAUCAGCAUCAGAAACAUAAAAAUAACAUAAAGUUUGUCAUAUGCUUUGCGCUCAAAAAACUUAAUGCAUUUCUCAGACAUUAAGCAAUUAAAAUGCACAACAAGCUGUUGACGGAGGUAUUAUUAGCUCCAUUUUACAGAUGGAGGCAAAAUGUCAGGAACUGAGUCAUGUCACAGAACAGACAUCAGCAAGGCAUCCGCUCGCAGCGGCAGCACAGACAGACGUAUUUCACGACGAGCGCCAGAGAUUUGGGGAGUUUUGUGCGACCCACCGAGGCCCCGCGCAGCUGCACACGACGGCGCGAGCACACCUGACGGUGCAGGCGAGGACGCCGGCUCACCUCGGCCGCGGGCAGAGCGCAGGGGCGGCCGGAGAGGUGCCGCCGGCUCUGCACACCCAGGAGGGAGCUCUGCGCGGCCCGCGGCGAAGGCAGCGCGGAUCCGUCUUCCUUCCCCGGUCGAGAAAUCCUGCUCUUCAGCAUUGAAAUUUGGAUCAGGUCCUGAGGUAGGAUGAAGCCUAAGCUUCACACUCCCACUCCUCUGUGCAGAAAAGAAUAUGUGUGACUGGUGGGAAAAGGAUGACAGGAGCGUGCAGGGGUGUGAUAACAUUUGUACUCCAGUAAGGUCGGCCACUUAGAGCUGGGCUUGAAGGCACCGGUCCGCAGGGAUCUCCUACACAACGGACUAAAUGUAUUUUGAGGCUUUUUGGCCUUCCUCUGACAAAUCAGGUAUUGGCCAUUCCCUGAGGCAGGACAUUCAUCACAUUUGGCAAAUUCUGUGUUCCUCUGAUUUCUCCCUCUGGUCGGGUUUGCAAUUAAGAACCUACAAACCAUUUUCAAACUGCAGCCAAGAAAAAUUCAAGAAAAUGUCGAAGCCUGAAAGCGACAGGAGAUCGGUUUUGCUGAGGAAGGGAUUCUGUGCCCAAAUGCGGUGACGGACUGGAGCCAGGGUAGCUAGCAGAGCUGGUCUAAUGAUAGUUCCCAGCGUAUAUAUAUUAUUUUGCAGAUAUUUCCCUUUCAUCUAACAUGCGCAGCAAAGAGGGAGCUGGAUUUUAGUACUUAAAUAAAGGAGAAUACUUUCUGUGGAAUAAAUAGUUAACAAACCCCCAUAAUGUCAUCCACUGCAGAAGCUGGUCCUUAAAAAACUUUCUCAGUCUUUCACUGGAGCGGUGGUGUUACCGGCACUGGCCAAAGUAGCUCAAGAGAGUUCAUCCAGCAGCAGAUCUCUGCCCAAGGUCCUCCGCUGGCCUGGCCAGGAGGCUGCCGAGUCGCUUGAAGGGAGGGCAGCACCCUGCCCAUGCUAGGCAGGAGGUGAAGGGUGUGCAGGGUGCUCGUGGACUCGCCCUCGCUGGCAGGGGCAGACGGGGCAAAACCAGCCUCUCUGAGUCGCCGGUGGUGACCCCUUCUGCGGCUUGCUUCGUCAUUCACGUGAAAGCGCGUCUAACAAUAGCUCUGCCUGGGCUUUCUGCCUGGAAAGUUGGAGCGGCCGCCUGACAGCCACACACAUUUCUCCUCGUGUGCCAAGACGUGUCUGACAAGAGAGGGGACAGAUGAACUUCCGCCGUCUGCUCUCCAGCACCUGCCUACCAGCCCCGUAUCACUCACCCGCAAACCCAAGAAGGUGGCAGAAGAGGCAAGUGGCUGUGCGGCAAAAGAGAUCAGACAGUGCCCGCAGCUCGCGGACGUGCAGCCUCUCCCCUCCUCACCAGUAUUUUCCCCCAUUACAGCAGGUAACGCCCGGCUGCAGUGCCAAGAGGUGCUUGUGCACCAGAAACUCACCUUCACUGCGGCAUCACGCUUGUCACACCAACCCACAGGGCUUAGGGGGACCUGCCAGGAGGCACAAAGUAAUUUUACCUACUGAGUCUGUAAUUUCUGUGGGAAAAAUGCUGGUAUUUGAGAUAAUUCUUUGGCUGAUUAAGUUCACCUUAUAAAGUGUCAGAUCCCCUCUGCGCAUCUUAAGUGUCGGGUUUCAUUACUUCUUAAUCUGCAUGUGUCCUACUUUUAUUAAUAUGUGAUGGUUGAUCGGCCCAUGGAAGAUCAAUGUUCCAGCUGUACCACACCUCAGUGAAAUAUUUCUUUAAAGAAAUGUUAAGGAUCUGAAGUACCCCACUGAAACGACACACUUAAGCAAUGAAACACUCUCCUGUGCCUGCUGCUGCUAAUGACAUUCCUUUCAGGAAAUAUGAGCACAGCAAGGCACUCUCUUUCUGUCCUCCCUCCUUCCCUAAACUGUGUCUCUUCAUAGAUCAAAUGUUCUGCAUAAUCACAGGGCAAUGUUUUACCUGAGGUGAGCACAAAAACGCCAUCAAAUGGUCCGUACCUGCCCUUGGAAGCUGCCAGGAGGUCAAUACUCUUGAAAAAUAGGCAGUCAGAAAUGUAUUCAGGUAUCUGAAUAUUGAUUUAAUAAAUGAAAUCUUUGGCAGUGAUGUUCCUGUUAGACAACUCUUCUCUAUCAUUGUUUUAGUUCUUAACUUUGCUUCCACCCGUCACUAAACAACUACUUUUUGAAUUCAGGUUACAUCUUCUAUUUUCCCUGUACACUAUACUUGCUGUUGGAAUUUACUGUUACUAAUAUUGUAUAGCCAGUUUCCUUAAUCAAAUGGUCAUUUAUUUAUUCCCUGCUCAGGAUGAGAUUAAUUAUAACAAAGCAGAGACCGCAGCUGAGUUCCAAGAGUCUUUGAUACUUCCAGGGAGAGGAAAGAAGCCGUUCAUAAGAUUAUAAAUAUCUAGGUAGGGAGUAUUAGGAAAUUUUUAGGGUAUAUUACAUAUCUUUUCAGAUACCUGAGGCAGACCUUUGACGUGACACAUCACUGCUAGAUCAGCUGCCUCCUUAUUGCUGAGCAACUGUCUAAGGCUUUGCCGGAACCCAUCACACACGUUGUAGCCAAGUCUCUGCCCAACUCAUGUAUAAUGACCUCUGCUGCAGAACUUGGUUGGGCAAGAUGGCUUGUUAGACCAGGAUCAGCAAUACAGUAAUCAUAGAGCUUUAUUCAUCUCUUUCCCUGCAGCACAGUUCUUCAGGGUAGUGACAUACAACCACACAGCAGCUUGAUGAUGCACUGAGUCUUGGACAUCCACAGCCUUGACGUACUUACAGGGCUCCAAAUAUCUCCAUGUCCUGUGGUGGCUAAUGGGUCAUCAUUUCUGAAUUCAUCUUCAUAAAAAUAUUUUUUCAUAACAUUUCAAAAAAUAAAACAAAACAGACCAAGCAGUUCUCAAUGCCUUCCUGGUAAUAAGUGUUCCCCAAAAUAGUUCUGGUUUUGUGUUAAUAAAACAUUCAAAAUAAACUGGGUUUAAAUGUACUGGGAAACCUAAUCAGCUGCAGAAGUAUAUGGGUCUAAACUACAAGUCUUCCAGCAUCAUUCCAUCACAGCAUGGCUGAUCUACUGACAUGACUGCUGCAAUAAUGAGUACAAAAACUGUGAUUAUAUUCCUGCUCUUGCAACAUUUUAGGGAAACUGCUUUCAGAAUUCUAUUAUGGUAUCUUCUGUUAAGUUACAAAACUCACUGAUAAACACGGAAGUGUGUUUCUGUGAUGUAUCACAAAUAUUUGAGUGAAUAAGUAUUAAAAAGCUAUGUGAAAAGAGGCAGUCUUUAUUUUUCAACUUUUUUAUAUACUUGCUAAUUCGUAGGCUAAUCUAGAAAUCUUUGCUGAGGUUUUAUGAGGGUUCUUCUUAGAUAAAAAAACUGCUUCAAGGCAGAGACAGUUUAGAUAUCAAGAUGUGGUGCAAUAAUUGCUCAUUUGCUACAAGUCUUCCAUCCAUAAAUAUGAAUUAGCAGGUUCUCAGGUUUUCAGAUUGAACACAAAUGGAUAUGCUUUGCAUCUGCAUAGAGCCACAGAUCUUAACACACCUAAAC
This is a long non-coding RNA of Dromaius novaehollandiae (emu), 4499 nucleotides long. RefSeq lists it as uncharacterized. The transcript is spliced from 5 exons. Lineage: Eukaryota; Metazoa; Chordata; Aves; Casuariiformes; Dromaiidae. The record is from RefSeq and is a predicted model, not a curated record.